This 486-nucleotide ribosomal RNA is filed under the name uncultured bacterium. RNAcentral's name for it is "bacterial SSU rRNA". It matches the Rfam family "Bacterial small subunit ribosomal RNA", at positions 30 to 507 of the family's 1533-position model. The record is from RNAcentral.
AUUGAACGCUGGCGGCAUGCCUUACACAUGCAAGUCGAACGGCAGCACGGGAGCUUGCUCCUGGUGGCGAGUGGCGAACGGGUGAGUAAAGCAUCGGAACGUGCCCUGAAGUGGGGGAUAACGUAGCGAAAGUUACGCUAAUACCGCAUAUUCUGUGAGCAGGAAAGCAGGGGAUCUUAGGACCUUGUGCUUUAGGAGCGGCCGAUGUCGGAUUAGCUAGUUGGUGAGGUAAAGGCUCACCAAGGCGACGAUCCGUAGCGGGUCUGAGAGGAUGAUCCGCCACACUGGGACUGAGACACGGCCCAGACUCCUACGGGAGGCAGCAGUGGGGAAUUUUGGACAAUGGGCGCAAGCCUGAUCCAGCCAUGCCGCGUGAGUGAAGAAGGCCUUCGGGUUGUAAAGCUCUUUCGGUGGGGAAGAAAUUGCUUGGGUUAAUACCCUAAGUAGAUGACGGUACCCGCAUAAGAAGCACCGGCUAACUACGUG